UGCGGCCUCGAUCGAGAUUCGGCAUGUGGGGUGACGGCGGAGGAGGGGAAAGGAGGGGAGCAGCAACCAACAUCUUGGGCGGCGGUGGCUGGACUCCAUGAGCUGGCCGGCGACGGUGGCGGUGCUGGAUUCGAUCUGCAGGUGAGAGAGGGAGGUGUGGCUUCGAAUUGGAGAGGGACUCCACCGGCGUCGGCCCGCGCGAGGAUUGGUGCCGCUCUCCUCGUAGGCCCUCGCUCCAGGUCGCCGAGGAGGGGCUGUAGCCGAGUCUGCAUAGUUGAGGGUAGGGAGGGCUGAGGUGGGAGGGGAAGGAGAUGGUCAUGGAUCUACUCGAGAAGGUGAGAGGACGAAGACAGAGGGGGUGCUCGAGGUGGUCAAGGCGGAGCAGCAGAGGACGGCUCGUCCACGAGCUCAAGUUUAAGGCGGACGGCGGCCUCAACGGGUGGGUGACGACAUCUACACCUGGUUCCACCUUGCUGUGGCAAAAUAGGAGGCCAUUCGUGCAGUCAUGCAGCGGAUGGAGUCCUCGGCAGGUGGGUGAUGGAGGCUGUAGAUGAUGCACGAUGACGGCUCCCAGCGAGGUUCUAUUAAAUGUGAACAUGUUUGCGUCAAGGCUUUGUUGAUGGUUGAAGAAGAAAUCAAGGUCGCCAAAACUCGGGUGCUGCUGAAUUGCUAGAUUACUCCACUGCAAAAAAGUAAGAAGAGGCGCUGGACAGUGGCAAGAAGGAAGAGCUCGGGCCACCCGCGAUGCCAGGCCGCCGGCCCUCCUCCCUCAAGCUCAAGGCGGCGAAGAGAUGGUUGAGAUGGUGUUGCAGCUCCGCAGAUAUCAUACCCAUUCUGCAUAGAUCAUGCUUGAUGUACAAUGAUCUUUGAUAACACCAAAUUAUACAGGUUGGAGAGGAAACUGAAAGUGCAUCUGCUGAGGAUCCAAAGAACAUGCUUCCUGACCCCUCUAAGACCAAAAGGUGAAAACCCCUCCUAUAGAACAAAUUAGAUUGUUGUGUUAGAUUAUGGAACGGCUCCUGCUUUGGUAUAUGCAUUUGAUCUCUACUUUUUCUAAUAUAAGUUCUAAGGUUCAGCUAUUUUUCUGCUUGCUUCUUGGUCACAACAAUUACAAAUUUACUGAGUGCGGGUUUGUUACCAGGCUCAAUUCCUGUUCUGUACCUCACUGAUAUAUGCAGAUUAAUCACUUACUCACAAAAAAAACACAGCCUUUUACUAUUUAGUUACUCGCUAAUAAAUUGCAGAAUAGAUGCCUAAACAGAAAUACUACCCUCCCAUUUAGGAAUUUACGAAGCCUUCCCUUCUUUACAAUGAAAAACAUUGUUCCCUUUGUAUGUUGACUAUGUUUUCUCUCUUCACUGAUGCGUCUAAUGCUGUUUGAUCAGACUUUUCUUUCUAGAUUCAUGAGAGGGUCAGUAAAAUAUAUAUGUACC
Triticum aestivum (bread wheat) is the source of this 1433-nucleotide RNA transcript. RefSeq lists it as uncharacterized. Lineage: Eukaryota; Viridiplantae; Streptophyta; Magnoliopsida; Poales; Poaceae. The record is from RefSeq and is a predicted model, not a curated record. The transcript has 5 exons.